Long non-coding RNA from Malurus melanocephalus (red-backed fairy wren), 3982 nucleotides. RefSeq lists it as uncharacterized. The record is from RefSeq and is a predicted model, not a curated record. Lineage: Eukaryota; Metazoa; Chordata; Aves; Passeriformes; Maluridae. The transcript is spliced from 3 exons.
AUAUAUAUGCAGACAAUAUUAUAGUUUGUAAAGUAAUGUUAUAGUUUAUGUCAUUAUGUGUACAUAUAGCUAAAAUAUACACCGGGGAUGUGUGCAUAUGCAGAUAUACACAUAUAAUAUAAAUGUAGUAUGUUGUAUUUAUGUAACCUAUAACCCAUUUUUUUGAUAAAAUUAUUACCUUUAUAUUCAAUAUUUAAUAUUAAAACAGGUAUUAAUGAGAUAAAACAGUGCAUAUAUACGACAUUGUGUAAUAUAUAAUGCAUAUCACAUUACAUACCUUGUAUUAUACAUGGAUGUAGAUCACAGAUUACAUAGAUUAUCCUUAAUGUAAUAAUAUAUACAUAUUGCAUCCAUGUGUAUUUAAUACCUAUAAUAUAGAUUCUAGCUAAUAAAACAUAUAGAUAUAUAAUAUCAAAUAUUAUAUAUAAUUGAAAUACUAUUGCAUGUAAUAUACUGAACAUAAGAUACCUAAUAUAUUUUGUAUAAUUAUAUUAAUAUAUAGCUACAGGACUAUUAAUAGGUAUAGGGGCMUAUUAAUAGGUAUAGGAAUAAGAUAAUACCUAUACAAAUGUUUGUUAAAAAUGUUAGGCAYCCUUCUAAAGCUGAAGGAAGGCACAAUUAGAAGGAAUAUUGGGAGGAAAUCCUUGGCUGUGAGGGUGGUUUAGCCCUGGCACAGGUUUUCAGAGAAGCUGUGGCUGCCCCAUCCCUGCAAGUGUUCCAGGGCAGGUUGGAUGGGGCUUGGAGCAACUUGGGAUAGUGCCUGCUGUGGCAAGGGUGGAGUAAGAUGAGCUUUAAGUUCCUUUCCAACACAACCCAUUCUGGAGCUCCAUGGUAAGUAUMAAUUAAUUUAUAUAUUAUUUAAUUAAUUAUUCUUAAUGCCAUUUUGGUGGCUGCUGCUGCAGCUGGAGGAGGUGAGGGUUCCUUGGGCCUGUGUUGCUGCCCUGUGGAGGGUGCUGAGCUGUGCAGGAGCCAUGUGCUCUCGGUGUUCUGGCUGUAGCUGCCCCUGUACCAGCCUGCUGCAGGGGCAGUGAGGAUACACGGCUGUGCCAGCCCUGGGUGAGGGGCACCGCCCGCUCCGAGGGCUGCCAGCACAGCCCCUGAGCACUGACCCCUGCUUGGCAGAGUAGCUGGGCCCUGCCUGUUUUCCAGCUGCACACGAGGGUGGUGCUGGGCCUGGGGCAGGGAUCCUCCUUGGGAAAGGCAGGUGGAAGCAGGGCUCCCAACGGCUCCAUUGUGUGUGCAGUUAUUUCUGCAAAGGAAGCUUUAUUUGGAGCCAUCUGGAUUAACUCUGUUUCUGGCCAGAGCACCUCUAAUUUAGGGGAGGACUUUAGGAAGGCAGAUUUCCAGGUGUCUUUUCAGACAUCAUUAUGGCUGAGUGCAGGUCCUUUCAUUUGCUUAAGGAUUGUCUCUGUAGAGAAGAAAAUCACCAUUAGAAACAUCUUGUUUUUAAUGCUGAUGCGAGGGGUUUGGCCAUGAGGCAUUGCCCGGAAGCAGGACAUUGGCGUCUGGGGGUCCCAAGGGUCUGUCACUGUGCUUGGUGCCAUGGGCAGGGCUGSGCUGGCAGGAGGUGCCAUCCUGCAGGGUGGCAAAGGGCACUGCUGCCACAUGGGGCACGACCAUGGGUGCCCAUGUGUCAGUCACAGCGCAGUCUGAACUCCUCAAGAGCACUCCAAUCUGGAACACUGCUGCUGGCUCUGCACCCGGCGGCUGUUCCUGCAGCUGUGGCUCCAGCAGAGAGGGACAAAGCACGCRUCCAGCAGGGACUGUCCCUGUCCCCUGUGAGCCAGCCCUGCACACCCACGGCACCCGCAGCAGCUGGGCCCAGGCAGCACCACUGGCAUCACUGAAGUUCCAGCCCCGGCACCUCCCGCCAUCCGCCACACACCACACAGGUACGCGCCUUUUAUUGCUCUGGGGAGAAAUUUUAUUGUGAGCAAAGAUUUUAUUCAUUUUGUAAGGGAUAACAGAGUGGCUUUGUCAUCCAGUUCAGGGUGCAAAACCACAAUGGAAUUUAUACAAAUUAAUAAUUUUUUAACAUCAGGAAACACAAUUUUCAUCAAAUUCUUCCCUGAAUUAGAGAUGCAUAUUGCUCUAAGGAGAAAGGGSUCCUUACUCAGAAGAAUGCCUUUGAAAUUGUUUCAGACCAGCUAUUGGAUAGCUAAGGGCCAGGCAGCCUUGCCUGUCCAGCCCUGAAAGUAAAAUAAAUUAAAAUACACCUUAUAUUUUCUAAAUUCCUUCACUGACAGAAAAUGAAUAGAAAGCAAAAUCCARCUGUGAAGCAGAAAAUCAAACUGGYCAUCUGAGCCCUCAGUGACAGAGGCUCCUUCCCACAGCUGUACUGGGCGARUUCCUGUCAGGGGCCAGGAGCUGCUGCCCCUCGGGCCCAGAGCACACGGCAGAGCUCAGGGGCCACCUCGCCAUCACUGACCAUGGCUGGAAUGUGCUCCACAGGUACACAGCAGCCCUGAGCCAAGCACUGGCACUCAGACAGACAGAUGGCCAUAACACCAACUGUAAGUGCAAAAACAAAUGGGGAUCCAACRGGCAUUUCCCAAAAAAUGCAAUCCCUUUGCUUAAAGCAACUCCCAUUCUGUUGGGAGGUGUGUGUGUGAGUGCCCAGGAUCAACAAAGCAGCAGUAGGACAGGGCUCUUUGCUGCUGGAUCUGAGAUUUUUGUUGCUUUAAGAUACUGGGGAUUUAGCUAUAAAAAUUUUCACCCCAUUAACCUACAACACGUGUAGACCAAAACACAUCAGCUACUGCCAACACGAGCUCUGCUCACUACAGCAGGUGUUGGAAGACACCUCGAGUCCUCAAAGGCCUUCAGCUGUGUUGUCCCCCAGCUACAGACAGGUCACAGCCUGCUKGGACAAGGUGAGGAGGCUACCCAGUUCUUCACAUUGUGCUGGGAAGGGGUCAUAGCAGGAGUGUGGCUUUUGCUCUUCUACAAGGGAUUUGCUUAUUUUUGUUUCUCUGGGGAGCAGUUCCAGUGCACAGCCAUCACAUACACCAUGGAAAGGCCACAGUGCUUCCACGGCAGGACAGCAGAGACUGGGGAGCUUCUCCCUCAUCCACCUGUGUGCCAGCAGGGAACAUUUAGGACCUGGCUAAUCAUGGGAAAACCUCAAUUUAGAAGAAAUUCCCUAAUGCACAGGUAAGUGCUGCCUGGAAUGACUAAAGCAAUGCUCUAAGGGUACAUUAAAUAACUGGUUUCAGUGCUGGUUCACGACCCGUGGCUGCAGUGCCUGCGCCCAGGCAUUCAGGGUCCUUGCUCACCUGGUCCCAGUGCAGUCGUGAUGGUGACACAGGUGACACCUGAUCCCCAGCCAUGUGUGUGUCCAGACUGGGGAAAGGCCAUUUCCCAGAGCAAACCCCUGGCCCGGCCCCUUCAUGAYGUGUUCACGCAGAAUUGCCCGUUCUGAUCUGUGCUCAGGUGCCUCGGCUGCCAUGGCCGCAGCUCUGUGCUCCAGGGCCUCAGCUGGAUGCCUUGCUGAGGGCACUGGCGGAGCGGCGGAGCUUCCCAGAAACCCUGCUCCUGGAGGCACACGGCAGCACGGGCGAGGGCGGCUCCACCAGCUCCACACCGAUGGUGACAGUGAGGUCAGCGCUUGCACUUGUGGUGAGGCAGCCUGGAAAACAGAGCGGGCAGGGAAAACCCAGGAGAAAUCUCCAGGCAGCUGAAGAACUGCCAUAGCACACUUCACAGAGAAAGCAGGGAUUUCUCUUUCCCAACUCACAGAAGUGAGGAGCAGUGAGGCCAUGAGGGGCUGUCAGCGUCCAGCUUUUGUGUAUUUGGCCUGUUACGGAGAGCUGGAAAUGAGCAUCUCUAGCAUGAGAGCUGGCAUGGAACUCUCCCUAGAAGUUUCCUUAACCUCUGGAAAAAUCCUAAAGAAUAAUUUCUUCCAAUUCCACAACAUAACAGGUACCCUUGUUACUGGUGGCAUACGGUAACCACUGGGGAAGGGUCUCAGGGGGCCAUGGCU